GGCCUAACACAUGCAAGUCGAGCGGAAACGGCAUAACGGAACCUUCGGGUGAAGAUAUGGACGUCGAGCGGCGGACGGGUGAGUAAUGCUUAGGAAAUUGCCCAGUAGAGUGGGAUAACUAUUGGAAACGAUAGCUAAUACCGCAUAAUAUCUUCGGAUCAAAGUGGGGGACCAUUUGGCCUCAUGCUACUGGAUAUGCCUAAGUGAGAUUAGCUAGUUGGUGAGGUAAGAGCUCACCAAGGCGACGAUCUCUAGCUGGUCUGAGAGGAUGAUCAGCCACACUGGAACUGAGACACGGUCCAGACUCCUACGGGAGGCAGCAGUGGGGAAUAUUGCACAAUGGGCGCAAGCCUGAUGCAGCCAUGCCGCGUGUGUGAAGAAGGC
RNAcentral lists this ribosomal RNA (384 nucleotides) under uncultured Gammaproteobacteria bacterium. Its description in RNAcentral is "bacterial SSU rRNA". It matches the Rfam family "Bacterial small subunit ribosomal RNA", at positions 45 to 415 of the family's 1533-position model. The record is from RNAcentral. Lineage: Bacteria; Pseudomonadati; Pseudomonadota; Gammaproteobacteria.